This is a long non-coding RNA of Cucurbita moschata (crookneck pumpkin), 480 nucleotides long. RefSeq lists it as uncharacterized. The transcript is spliced from 3 exons. NCBI's taxonomy places the organism in Eukaryota, Viridiplantae, Streptophyta, Magnoliopsida, Cucurbitales, Cucurbitaceae. The record is from RefSeq and is a predicted model, not a curated record.
GCCAUUUUUUACAAUAACCCUCGUUUAGUUCACUUCAUUGUUCGUCGUCCUCGAUAUACGCCUGCAAUCGUCUCUGCAUCAUCCUUUAAACGAUCUUGAUAAUGAAGAUGGACACUACUGGUCAGGAAUCAGCCACUUUUUUCGGUGACGUCUUUUGAUAUUCCAAAUUCUGUGCUUAUGUGAGUGAACAUGUGUAACACCCGAGCUUAGGAGCUACCGGUACGAUUUAUCAGUUGAAGAAGCUGCUGAACUGUCUAGAAGAGCAAUUUAUCAUGCAACAUUCUGAGACGAGGUCAGUAACAGAGUUGCUAUUGGUAUCUCCUGAUUACCUCUCCUUAUCAUGUCGAUAUGCAUAUCGUAUAUCCAUUUCCCGUUUCUAAGCAUAGUUUCAUCUGAAAUUGGGUUUUUGUUCAGUUUUGUUAGAUCCAUAUUUGUUUGAGAGGGAAACGAAACAUUGUUUUAUAAGGGUGUGGAAACCUC